This 592-nucleotide non-coding RNA is filed under the name Dethiobacter alkaliphilus AHT 1. RNAcentral's name for it is "Bacterial large subunit ribosomal RNA". It matches the Rfam family "Bacterial large subunit ribosomal RNA", at positions 2334 to 2925 of the family's 2925-position model. The record is from Rfam by way of RNAcentral. Lineage: Bacteria; Bacillati; Bacillota; Dethiobacteria; Dethiobacterales; Dethiobacteraceae.
GGUAUCGCGCGUAGAGUGUAAGGCAGAAGGAAGCUUCACUGCGACACCGACGGGUGGAGCAGGGACGAAAGUCCGACUUAGUGAUCCGGCGGUGCUGCGUGGCAGGGCCGUCGCUCAACGGAUAAAAGCUACCCCGGGGAUAACAGGCUUAUCUCCCCCAAGAGUCCACAUCGACGGGGAGGUUUGGCACCUCGAUGUCGGCUCAUCGCAUCCUGGGGCUGUAUUAGGUCCCAAGGGUUUGGCUGUUCGCCAAUUAAAGCGGUACGUGAGCUGGGUUCAGCAACGUCGUGAGACAGUUCGGUCCCUAUCUGUCAUGGGCGUAGAAAAUUGAAGAGAGCUGUCCCUAGUACGAGAGGACCGGGAUGGACAGACCUCUGGUGUACCAGUUGUCCUGCCAAGGGCACUGCUGGGUAGCUAUGUCUGGACGGGAUAAGCGCUGAAAGCAUCUAAGCGCGAAGCCCCCUCUAAGAUAAGUUUUCCCGCUCGGUUAACGAGGUAAGACCCCAGAGAGAUGAUCUGGUUGAUAGGCCGGAGGUGUAAUGGCAGCAAUGUCUUAAGCUGACCGGUACUAAUAGGUCGAGGGCUUGACCUA